Molecule: microRNA precursor, 92 nt
Filed under: Canis lupus familiaris (dog)
Lineage: Eukaryota; Metazoa; Chordata; Mammalia; Carnivora; Canidae
Also listed under: 1 other name
Description: mir-8799 microRNA precursor family
Rfam family: mir-8799 microRNA precursor family
Source: Rfam by way of RNAcentral
AGGGGAAGGGCCGGAUCUUGGACUGUGUCCCCGGUGCCCUGGGCUCCAGAGACUGCACUGCUGGAAUCACACUCCUGGCUGCGCAGCCCCCU